ACGGAGGAUGCAAGCGUUAUCCGGAUUUAUUGGGUUUAAAGGGUGCGCAGGUUGUUUUAUAAGUCAGUGGUGAAAGUCUGCCGCUUAACGGAAGGAUUGCCAUUGAUACUAUAGGACUUGAGUAUGGAUGAGGUAGGCGGAAUGUGUAGUGUGGCGGUGAAAUGCACAGAUAUUGCGGGGAAGACACAUUGCGUAGGCGACUAACAAGGACGUUACUGACGCUGAGGCGCGAAAGUGUGGGGAUCAAAAAG
This 251-nucleotide ribosomal RNA is filed under the name uncultured prokaryote. RNAcentral's name for it is "partial 16S rRNA". It matches the Rfam family "Bacterial small subunit ribosomal RNA", at positions 525 to 775 of the family's 1533-position model. The record is from RNAcentral.